UAAAAUAGUGCAGUCCAAUUAAAUGGAGAAGCUGCACAGCCCAAUGAAUAAAUUAAAGGCCCAAAGCAUUAAAUAAAAACAUUGGCCCAACUGAAAUAUAAACAAAACUCGGCCCAAGAAAUAAAAUAAAACAAAAUCGGCCCAAGUCAAGCCCUAGCCCAACUGACUCGGCCCACCAUUCAAAGCUCAACCCUAGCCCAACACCCUUUUCUCCCCCUUCCUCAUCAAUCACGCCUCACACACUUCAGUCAUUCAUCUCUUUCAAU
Molecule: long non-coding RNA, 266 nt
Filed under: Salvia miltiorrhiza (redroot sage)
Lineage: Eukaryota; Viridiplantae; Streptophyta; Magnoliopsida; Lamiales; Lamiaceae
Description: long non-coding RNA (SMIL_LNC000014)
Source: RNAcentral